This 305-nucleotide ribosomal RNA is filed under the name uncultured bacterium. RNAcentral's name for it is "bacterial SSU rRNA". It matches the Rfam family "Bacterial small subunit ribosomal RNA", at positions 337 to 639 of the family's 1533-position model. The record is from RNAcentral.
CCCUACGGGGGGCAGCAGUGAGGAAUAUUGGUCAAUGGGCGCGAGCCUGAACCGGCCAAGUAGCGUGAAGGAUGACGGCCCUAUGGGUUGUAAACUUCUUUUAUAUGGGAAUAAAGUUUGGUAUGCAUACCAUUUUGUAUGUACCAUAUGAAUAAGGAUCGGCUAACUCCGUGCCAGCAGCCGCGGUAAUACGGAGGAUCCGAGCGUUAUCCGGAUUUAUUGGGUUUAAAGGGAGCGUAGGUGGAUUGUUAAGUCAGUUGUGAAAGUUUGCGGCUCAACCGUAAAAUUGCAGUUGAAACUGGCAG